GCGGGCGUGGUUCAAUGGUAGAAUACCACCCUUCCAAGGUGAAGAUGGCAGUUCGAUUCUGCUCGCCCGCU
Molecule: transfer RNA, 71 nt
Filed under: Patescibacteria group bacterium
Lineage: Bacteria
Description: tRNA-Gly
Rfam family: tRNA
About the family: Transfer RNA (tRNA) molecules are approximately 80 nucleotides in length. Their secondary structure includes four short double-helical elements and three loops (D, anti-codon, and T loops).
Source: RNAcentral